GUGGGGAAUUUUGGACAAUGGGCGAAAGCCUGAUCCAGCCAUGCCGCGUGCAGGAUGAAGGCCUUCGGGUUGUAAACUGCUUUUGUACGGAACGAAAAGACUCCUUCUAAUAAAGGGGGUCCAUGACGGUACCGUAAGAAUAAGCACCGGCUAACUACGUGCCAGCAGCCGCGGUAAUACGUAGGGUGCAAGCGUUAAUCGGAAUUGCUGGGCGUAAAGCGUGCGCAGGCGGUUAUAUAAGACAGAUGUGAAAUCCCCGGGCUCAACCUGGGAACUGCAUUUGUGACUGUAUAGCUAGAGUACGGUAGAGGGGGAUGGAAUUCCGCGUGUAGCAGUGAAAUGCGUAGAUAUGCGGAGGAACACCGAUGGCGAAGGCAAUCCCCUGGACCUGUACUGACGCUCAUGCACGAAAGCGUGGGGAGCAAACAGGAUUAGAUACCCUGGUAGUCC
This 450-nucleotide ribosomal RNA is filed under the name uncultured bacterium. RNAcentral's name for it is "partial 16S ribosomal RNA". It matches the Rfam family "Bacterial small subunit ribosomal RNA", at positions 354 to 796 of the family's 1533-position model. The record is from RNAcentral.